RNAcentral lists this ribosomal RNA (1438 nucleotides) under uncultured organism. Its description in RNAcentral is "16S ribosomal RNA". It matches the Rfam family "Bacterial small subunit ribosomal RNA". The record is from RNAcentral.
GCGGCAUGCCUUACACAUGCAAGCCUAACGGCAGCACGGGUGCUUGCACCUGGUGGCGAGUGGCGAACGGGUGAGUAAUACAUCGGAACAUGUCCUGUAGUGGGGGAUAGCCCGGCGAAAGCCGGAUUAAUACCGCAUACGAUCUACGGAUGAAAGCGGGGGACCUUCGGGCCUCGCGCUAUAGGGUUGGCCGAUGGCUGAUUAGCUAGUUGGUGGGGUAAAGGCCUACCAAGGCGACGAUCAGUAGCUGGUCUGAGAGGACGACCAGCCACACUGGGACUGAGACACGGCCCAGACUCCUACGGGAGGCAGCAGUGGGGAAUUUUGGACAAUGGGCGAAAGCCUGAUCCAGCAAUGCCGCGUGUGUGAAGAAGGCCUUCGGGUUGUAAAGCACUUUUGUCCGGAAAGAAAUCCUUGGCUCUAAUACAGUCGGGGGAUGACGGUACCGGAAGAAUAAGCACCGGCUAACUACGUGCCAGCAGCCGCGGUAAUACGUAGGGUACGAGCGUUAAUCGGAAUUACUGGGCGUAAAGCGUGCGCAGGCGGUUUGCUAAGACCGAUGUGAAAUCCCCGGGCUCAACCUGGGAACUGCAUUGGUGACUGGCAGGCUAGAGUAUGGCAGAGGGGGGUAGAAUUCCACGUGUAGCAGUGAAAUGCGUAGAGAUGUGGAGGAAUACCGAUGGCGAAGGCAGCCCCCUGGGCCAAUACUGACGCUCAUGCACGAAAGCGUGGGGGAGCAAACAGGAUUAGAUACCCUGGUAGUCCACGCCCUAAACGAUGUCAACUAGUUGUUGGGGAUUCAUUUCCUUAGUAACGUAGCUAACGCGUGAAGUUGACCGCCUGGGGAGUACGGUCGCAAGAUUAAAACUCAAAGGAAUUGACGGGGACCCGCACAAGCGGUGGAUGAUGUGGAUUAAUUCGAUGCAACGCGAAAAACCUUACCUACCCUUGACAUGGUCGGAAUCCCGCUGAGAGGUGGGAGUGCUCGAAAGAGAACCGGCGCACAGGUGCUGCAUGGCUGUCGUCAGCUCGUGUCGUGAGAUGUUGGGUUAAGUCCCGCAACGAGCGCAACCCUUGUCCUUAGUUGCUACGCAAGAGCACUCUAAGGAGACUGCCGGUGACAAACCGGAGGAAGGUGGGGAUGACGUCAAGUCCUCAUGGCCCUUAUGGGUAGGGCUUCACACGUCAUACAAUGGUCGGAACAGAGGGUUGCCAACCCGCGAGGGGGAGCUAAUCCCAGAAAACCGAUCGUAGUCCGGAUUGCACUCUGCAACUCGAGUGCAUGAAGCUGGAAUCGCUAGUAAUCGCGGAUCAGCAUGCCGCGGUGAAUACGUUCCCGGGUCUUGUACACACCGCCCGUCACACCAUGGGAGUGGGUUUUACCAGAAGUGGCUAGUCUAACCGCAAGGAGGACGGUCACCACGGUAGGAUUCAUGAC